UUAUUUCUUGUACUCGUAAGUUUAGCCACCAAAUAUAUGCUUAGCCGCUGCUGCAACCUCACCACUUAAGCUUGCCUCACCUAAUAAGCUUUGCUAGUCUUGAUACCUUUGAAAAUGAGAUUGCUGAGUCCCCUGGGGCUCACAGAUUACUACAACACCAGUUGCAGGUACAGGUAAAGGUUAUUUGACGCGAGCGCGUUGAUUGUUCAUUUGGAGUUGCUUCUUCUUCUUCAUCAUCGAUCAAGGAUGGG
This 251-nucleotide long non-coding RNA is filed under the name Hordeum vulgare. RNAcentral's name for it is "long non-coding RNA (HVUL_LNC018108)". The record is from RNAcentral. Lineage: Eukaryota; Viridiplantae; Streptophyta; Magnoliopsida; Poales; Poaceae.